Molecule: ribosomal RNA, 438 nt
Filed under: uncultured bacterium
Lineage: Bacteria
Description: bacterial SSU rRNA
Rfam family: Bacterial small subunit ribosomal RNA
Source: RNAcentral
AACGCGAAGAACCUUACCUGGGCUUGAACCGCACAGGACCAUCUUUGGAAACAGAGACUUCCCGCAAGGGACCUGUGUAGAGGUGCUGCAUGGCUGUCGUCAGCUCGUGCCGUGAGGUGUUGGGUUAAGUCCCGCAACGAGCGCAACCCUUACUCAUAGUUGCUACCCGCAAGGGAGAACUCUAUGAGGACUGCUCCGGAUAACGGAGAGGAAGGUGGGGAUGAGGUCAAGUCAGCAUGGCCUUUAUGUCCAGGGCUACACACGUGUUACAAUGCGCGCCACAAAGCGUCGCGAACCCGCGAGGGGGAGCUAAUCGCAAAAAAGCGCGCUCAGUUCGGAUUGCAGUCUGCAACUCGACUGCAUGAAGCCGGAAUCGCUAGUAAUGGCGCAUCAGAACGGCGCCGUGAAUACGUUCCGGGCCUUGUACACACCGCUGUA